Acinonyx jubatus (cheetah) is the source of this 1102-nucleotide long non-coding RNA. RefSeq lists it as uncharacterized. The record is from RefSeq and is a predicted model, not a curated record. NCBI's taxonomy places the organism in Eukaryota, Metazoa, Chordata, Mammalia, Carnivora, Felidae. The transcript has 3 exons.
GUGGUGAAAAUGGCGUCACCCAGCUACCCAGUCUCUAGUAUCGGAACUCUGUUCUCCACGACCAGCAAUCCGGCACCCGUCCUUUGUCUCCGGCUUCCGUUCACUCCUCGCUUUUACACUGUCCGUGACCAAGCCUUCAGGCUGCCAGGCGGCACCUCCCUCCUGAGUUUUAUCUCAGAUGCAGCUGUGUUUCCCGCCCCCUCGCUUCUGAGGGACUGCGGCUUUGACCAGCUCGGAUCCUCUGCCAGAGGGUCUCACUGAUCAGUGGCUGGAGCCAGGCACCCCCAGGAACAUUUGCACGAUCCUGUUGCAGCAGCGCCUCAGGGAUUAUGGAAAAUCACAACACGCAUCUGGCACCAGCCUUCGCCCUUCCCACCAGAGCACCGCCAGGUAUCAGCUUUGUCUUUCCCAGACGUCAGCACCACUCCCGUCAUCCAUGCCUCUGUUUUGUGCCGCUUACUCCAUGCAGUGUGGCUGCGGUGUCCCGGGAUGGUUCGAGUGUAGACGGAUUGGAGGGUGACCAACAGUUCACGGGCACAAAGAACACUUGGAGUGGCCCUGACCUACGGUUUGCAAGCGAAGAGAUGUAUCACGGACAGGGGGACCUCGGACUCUCCUGCCGAAAGCACUUCCCAGGUGUAGCCGGUGUUCAGACUCUUGAAAACCAGGUCUGGAAACUACCCAUGCCCCUGACUGAAUUGUCACAGUUGAAUCUUCCAGACCCCUCCUUGCUAACACCAGGGCAAAUAUUCUGAUAGAGAGAGCGGGGCCCCGGCGACUGGAAUGGGGAGAGUUGGGGAACGAGCUGGAAGAAGUGAUGGGGAACUCACUCUCCCUUUCUACCCCUUCUUCUAAGUGCUUAUCACUGGGUGCCGUGCAAGUCUUCUACUGACUGACAAUAAACCCUCUUUUGUGCAAUGUGACGGACUUGAUUAAAAACAUAAACAACAUAAACUUGAUUAAAAACAAAACAUAAACAGAAGCUCAAACACAUCACAAAGGCUGUCCCCACGCCUCUCUCCCUUGUUUUCCACAGCUCAGCUCUGUUCUCCCACGUGUGUUACACACAUCGAGCCCAGGGGCUCCUAAAAUACUUCUCAUG